This 460-nucleotide ribosomal RNA is filed under the name uncultured bacterium. Its description in RNAcentral is "partial 16S ribosomal RNA". It matches the Rfam family "Bacterial small subunit ribosomal RNA", at positions 338 to 795 of the family's 1533-position model. The record is from RNAcentral.
CCUACGGGGGGCAGCAGUGAGGAAUAUUGGUCAAUGGGCGGAAGCCUGAACCAGCCAAGUAGCGUGCAGGAUGACGGCCCUACGGGUUGUAACCUGCUUUUAUACGGGAAUAACGCGCCUUACGUGUAGGGCUUUGCAUGUACCGUAUGAAUAAGGACCGGCUAAUUCCGUGCCAGCAGCCGCGGUAAUACGGAAGGUCCGGGCGUUAUCCGGAUUUAGUGGGUUUAAAGGGAGCGUAGGCCGCAUGUCAAGCGUGCUGUGAAAUGUCCGGGCUCAACCCGGGCCUUGCAGCGCGAACUGGCGUGCGUGAGUCCGCGGGAGGCAGGCGGAAUUCGUCGUGUAGCGGUGAAAUGCUUAGAUAUUGCGCAGAACUCCGAUUGCGAAGGCAGCAUACCGGCGGCGAUCUGACGCUGAGGCACGAAAGCGUGGGUAUCGAACAGGAUUAGAUACCCGGGUAGUC